This is an RNA transcript of Orcinus orca (killer whale), 764 nucleotides long. It is a transcript of the gene named meiosis/spermiogenesis associated 1, with no coding region annotated. The transcript is spliced from 2 exons. The record is from RefSeq and is a predicted model, not a curated record. Lineage: Eukaryota; Metazoa; Chordata; Mammalia; Artiodactyla; Delphinidae.
GUUGGGAAAAGAUAAAGCUAUAGGUGUCAUUUCUCAUAGGUUUACUAAUUGUCAGGCACUGUGCUCGACCCAGUGGAUUGGCUCAUUUAAUUCCAACAAAAUAAGAAGAGGUGGGACAGAUAGGAGGUAUCUACCAGCAGGGACCAGAAGCACCAAUGGUCUCUGUUCUCUGACCGGCUUUUUUAGGGAAUUCCGUCUGUGAUUGAUACAGCGGCAAGCAGUCCUCUCUCCACCUCGAAGUGGGGUUGAGAAGUUGCAAGGCUCCACCCUGCGAUCGACUUUCACUCUCCAAACUGGGCCCCGCCCACGCGCUUGCGCACAAAGGCCCGAUCGCAGGGGGCGGGGCCUGAGCGAGCACAAAGGGGCCUGAAAGAGUUGAGCGCUCGUGCUGCGCUGGGCGUUGCCAGGCGAAGCGAGUGUCGCCGAGGCCGCUACAGUUGGCCUCUCGCUGGCCCAGCCCAGGGAUCCCGAGUGGAGAACACGAACACCACCGGACUCGCUGGCGAGCUCCCAGGCGGGGCGCCCCGGCCUCUCAAGGGUGGCCGAGCGAGGGUUACCCGGGCGAGCAGGACCCACGGGUAGAUCGUUGGCCAGAGACAGGAUAUGUGAAGAAACUUCAGAGACGGGACAAUACUUUCUAUUACUACAACAGACAGAGGGAAUGUGAUGACAAGGAAGUCCACAAAGUGAAAAUUUAUGCUUACUAGCCUUACUUCUUUGUAUUACCUGUCAUUAUCUUUUUAAAAAUCCACUGUUUGAUUCUA